This is a long non-coding RNA of Mauremys reevesii (Reeves's turtle), 185 nucleotides long. RefSeq lists it as uncharacterized. NCBI's taxonomy places the organism in Eukaryota, Metazoa, Chordata, Testudines, Geoemydidae. The record is from RefSeq and is a predicted model, not a curated record. The transcript has 3 exons.
CUGGGCCCCGACCCCUAGGCAGCCCCGGGCUCUGCCAGCCCCGGCCCGGAGCCCCCGGGCUGGAGAAUGACAUCCAUGUUUUGCUUCAACUCAUCUGAUCCUCCCAUGACACAGGGAAGAGAAAUGGCUGCAGUGGAGCCGGCUCAGGGGCCGGUGACCUUCGAGGAGGUGGCUGUGUAUUUCAC